RNAcentral lists this transfer RNA (63 nucleotides) under Notomastus sp. GK-2021. RNAcentral's name for it is "tRNA-Asp". Lineage: Eukaryota; Metazoa; Annelida; Polychaeta; Capitellidae. The record is from RNAcentral.
AAGCGAUUAGUUAAAAAAUAACUUGCGCUUGUCACGCGCAGAUUGCCCUUAGAGCAUCGCUUA